GAAAAACUUUUACAAAAUAAUUCAUCAAAUAUGAAAUUAUGUAUAAGAAAACAGUGUUGUAAAUAACUAACAUUUCUCUAUAUGUAACAUAGACUCUUUUUCUACAUAUUCAAUCUACAAAGUCAAUAAUCCUCUCGCAUAUACAUAAUCCCAUUGAUGUUACACAUACCAUAUUGCCCUCAUGUUGAGGUGAUGUUGCCUCUUUGGACACAUACACACAAAUACAUUCACACAACUACACACAAACACACUGAUUCACAGCGACACACAAUACACACAUGCUUGGCUGAAAGAGGGACAUAUCCACAUAGAUCAAUAAAGGUUUGUAUCACCAGCAGUGUUAAUUUUGGCAGCAAAUUUUAAGUGUUUUAGUCAUAGUCUUUUGACAAAAAAGCC
Non-coding RNA from Pelobates cultripes (western spadefoot toad), 396 nucleotides. NCBI's taxonomy places the organism in Eukaryota, Metazoa, Chordata, Amphibia, Anura, Pelobatidae. The record is from the annotation of a GenBank genome assembly.